Molecule: ribosomal RNA, 440 nt
Filed under: uncultured bacterium
Lineage: Bacteria
Description: partial 16S ribosomal RNA
Rfam family: Bacterial small subunit ribosomal RNA
Source: RNAcentral
CCUACGGGUGGCAGCAGUAGGGAAUAUUGCUCAAUGGUGGAAACCCUGAAGCAGCAACGCCGCGUGGAGGAUGAAGGUUUUCGGAUUGGAAACUCCUUUUGUUAGAGACGAUAAUGACGGUAUCUAACGAAUAAGCACCGGCUAACUCCGUGCCAGCAGCCGCGGUAAUACGGAGGGUGCAAGCGUUACUCGGAAUCACUGGGCGUAAAGAGCGCGUAGGCGGGAUAGCAAGUCAGAUGUGAAAUCCUAUGGCUUAACCAUAGAACUGCAUUUGAAACUGUUAGUCUAGAGGAUGGGAGAGGUAUGUGGAAUGCUUGGUGUAGGGGUAAAAUGCGGAGAGAUCAAGAGGAAUACGCAGUGCGAAGGCGACCUGCGAGAACAUAACUGACGCUGAUGCGCGAAAGCGUGGGGAGCAAACAGGAUUAGAUACCCGAGUAGUC